This 11225-nucleotide long non-coding RNA is filed under the name Trifolium pratense (red clover). RNAcentral describes it as "long non-coding RNA (TPRA_LNC001256)". The record is from RNAcentral. Lineage: Eukaryota; Viridiplantae; Streptophyta; Magnoliopsida; Fabales; Fabaceae.
UCAAAUUUGCUGAGCUUACAUUAGACGUCUAUAGAAUGAUACAAUGUUUAGAAUGGGAGCCUAGUGGAUCAUUCUACCAAAAACGUAUAGUUAGACCUAAGGAGAAUGGUGACAUGAUUGAUCAUUCAGGAGCUUCUGGGAUAAUAGACAUGAACCUUGCUGCAGAUAUGACAGAUCCAACUAUACCUUCUAAUCCUACAAAGGCUACCUUGUAUCGUCCAUCUGUGACACACGUGAUAGCAGUGAGUUACUGAGUUUUUAUGCCUAGUUGACAGUUAUUAUAUCUAGUUCGAUCUUCUCUUUGCUAAAAUUGAUAAGCUGAAUGAGAUUUUUAUGGCUUUUCCUUUCACAAGAUUUGGACAUCUAAAUCUGUUUUUAGCAUGUUUUGUUGGUUCUACUCUAUAUUAUAAUAUGUUCUCAUGUCUAUUUGUCCAUACUUGCGUCACCUUUUUUGUUUUGUUUCAGUCAUGUAUGAUUUGAUCUAUAAACCGCUGCGAAAAUGAUCACUUGUUAAAUACGGCUGCUGAUAUCCUUCGGUUCACAAUCUUCCAGUCACUGUAGUGAUUUGUUAUUUCAUACAUUGAACUUAUGCUGUAUGCAGGUUAUGGCAACAAUUUGUGAGGAGCUGCCACCAGACAGCGUUGUGCUAGUAUAUCUUUCAGCCUCAGGUUUACAUUUGAUCCAACUUUUCAAGUUUAAAUAAUCAGUCUAUAGGUCACACUAUUUUAUGUUAGGUUCGUUGCCUUAAUUACCUGUGAUCACUCGUACAGGGAAGGCUGGUGUUAAUAAUGGAGGGUCAUCCAAAUAUUCAAGACACAAAGCACUUUCUCAGUCUUCCGACGAAUUGAACUCUGGAAUGUCAGAAUCUCUAAAUAAUGGCAAGAGGGAAUCAAGUUGUCAUCAUGACAAUUAUCUGUGGUUUGGUUCCAAGGGAAAUAGUGGUGGGUACCUGUGUUAAAGUCUUUUCCCUGUCAAAUUUAUGUUAAGUUUGUUCCAGGAAAACUUAUGCAAAUUCUAAUAUGUUUUUCUUGCCUUUUUUGGGUUAGUGUCAAUUUGUAUGUUAUAAAAGGAACGAGUACCUUUGUUGUGGCUGCACUGACAUAUGCUGUAUUUGAAUUAUCAGGUUCAAAUAACCUCUACCCCGGCGAUCUUAUUCCAUUCACUCGGAAACCUCUUUUCUUGAUUAUCGAUAGUGAUAACAGCCAUGCAUUCAAGGCAGGUUUGUCCAAACUUGUGUAUGUGUUUCCUGGAAACUGUCAGAUGGAGUUUUUCCGUAUAUUCUGGAAAUCUAAUUUUCUAUGUAAUUGGCAUGAUGAAGUUAGUGAUUAGUUUGUUUCUGCAUGUAAUUGGCAUGAUGAAGUUGUGUAAAGACUAUUAAGUUAUUAAAUGGCGUUGUUAUCAUUCCCUGUGUAGCUACAAAAAGAAUGAGAAGCAUAUCACAUUUUUGGCUUAAGGGUGACUCUGUACUAGUUUAUAGGGGGAGCUGGCUUGUCCCAUGUUCGAUGUGUAGUGAAAUUAAUGGGAUCAUUAAUUAUAAGAUGCUGUUUUACCGGUGUUAUUUACGUACCUGUCUUAUUUAUUCUAUAAUAAAUGAUUGCAGGAAUUACAUGGUGCUGAAAGGGGAGAGACGGCUGCUAUAUUUCUUUCACCUUUAAGGCCGAUUUUUAAGAACCCAGCUGAUGUAAAUGUACAUAAUGGAAGCCAAUUUACCUUUUUCUUGACAGCUCCUUUAUCAGCAUUUUGUCAAAUGAUUGGUCUCAUCCCUAAUGAGUCUGAUACAGUAAGUAUACACAAAUGAUCUUUAAACUUCCUCAAAUCAACUGUAACUCUAGUUGGUCUAAUUUGACAUGUUAACCCUAUAGGAUGUCUACAAUGAAGCUGAGAACAUAAUUGCCAAUGCUUUCUCUGAGUGGGAAGUAAUUCUUUGCUCAUCAACUAUCAUGGAUUUAGUAUGGGCACAAGUUAUAACCGAUCCAUUUUUAAGGCGACUUAUUUUAAGGUAUUUGACCUGUAGUUUUUGUUUAAUGAAUUGGCCGAUGUAUUCAUUUAUUUUGAUUGGUAAUUGAUUUUGUAGAAAGUCAUAGUUGCAGUUGACUGCCACCUACUUUUUUGGGCAUUAUUAAAAUUGAAGUUACUGAUUGGAAUUGUGGUGCAUUUUUAUCUACAGAUUCAUAUUCUGCCGGGCCGUGAUAUCUUUUUUCUGCCCGCCCGAGGAAAGUGAAUUACAUCUGCCACUUUGCCUACCCCAUCUACCUGCUUAUGUUGCACCAAAUUCUGAAGCUGUGCGCUCCGUGGUCGUGCAACUUGCCAAGCACUUUGAUGUUGCUGACUCCUUUCACUUUACUAAUACAUAAGAUUUGGACAUUAUAUGCAACAAGUAAAUUGUUAGAUUUAAAUGCAGGCUUUUGAAGCUAAAGAUUCUCUGACCAAAGGAAUAUAAAAUAUAUGGGUUAACCUUUUGGGUGACAUAACAAGAAUAUCAAUGGUGGGACUUAGGCUGUCAUGUGGAGGAUCGAUUUGUUUGGUGUUGGUUGCAUCUGGUUGUUAUGUUGCUUAAUCGACCCCACCCGCUUCAUUGAAUCCAUAUGCUGUAUUUGGCGGUUUGCUCUGUAGUGUUAAAAAGGUUAGGUCGUGAUGGGUGCUGGCAAGAUAAUUGUUGGGUGAGAGUUAGUUGUAUUUGUUCAUAUUUCAUAGUUUUUUUCGGUGGUUUAUAUUUCAUUGCUUUGAAAGAGAACAAACAGGAAGUUGUUCAUAUUUCAUACCUUUGUUUAGCAGAACGGUUUUUGAAACAUUGAUUGGAGAGAGGAUGUAUUUAUGAGAAGAACGAAUUCUGUCAAUACUCGAAAGAAAAUAAGCUCACAAUAUUGUAUGAGACCCUUUUUUUUGACACAAUAACAGUAUGAGACUGAAAGCUGGAGGGGUUAACGUUAUAAAAAAAAAUGAUCACAAAAAAAGAAUGGUUAGGGAUUAACGAAUCAACAGAAAAGAAGAAGAAAUAAAUGCUCAACUUUGUGAGAAAUUCUUGCAUGCAUACUCCCUUAACAACACACUCUUACACACAACCAAGUAAAAUAUUACAUCUCAUAAAAUUAAAAUAAAUAAUAUCAAAUUCAUUAUUGUUAAAGGUUCUCUCUUUCUUCUACCAAAAAAAAAAAGGUUCUCUCUUUCUCCAAUCUCCACUUUCUUUAACCGAUCACACAACCCUCAAAACCAUUGCACCCAGCAACCCACUAAGCAUCACCACCGCCCCCAUUAUAAUUGUUUCUUCACAAAACAUUAUCCCUUAAAAGUUAAAUAACAACAAAAGUUAGUAGUAGAGCUUAUUUAUUUGAAAGGAAAUGCCAUUUAUGCAUUUGCAGUUGCUUUGUGUAAUGUUGAUAGAGUGUACAGCUUAUCCUGAGUCCUGACAUCAAUUCUUGCUUACUAGCACCUGACAAAAUGCUUCAUCAGAAUUGAGAAUCUAAUGUAAAACUUGAAAAUCAUUACUUAGCCACUAAAAUUUCGAAAACAGAAGCAAAGACUGAUGUUUGCAAGGAUGUGGUGAAAUGAAAAGAAGACUGGACAUAAUUUCAAUUCAUCGAAUAAAAAAACUUACCCAAUUCUUUCCACUCAUGGAAUAGAGGUAUGGCUACAAUCCUUUGAUCAUGACUGUACAAAAAUGGAUAAUUAAUGGUUUUAAGAGAAACAUAAUAUGAAAUGUUUUUGUUUAAACAACUAAAUAUAUUAAAACACACUCUUAAACAAGCACAAGAUGUGCUGAAAAGAGGCAAGGAAAGUACAAUAUUACAAUAAAGCCAAAAGGCCAAAAGCUAGGAAAUGCAAGUGGAAGUCACAAUCAGACCACAACAAAAACAACCCCAUCACACAACCUAACAUAAAACCGNNNNNNNNNNNNNNNNNNNNNNNNNNNNNNNNNNNNNNNNNNNNNNNNNNNNNNNNNNNNNNNNNNNNNNNNNNNNNNNNNNNNNNNNNNNNNNNNNNNNNNNNNNNNNNNNNNNNNNNNNNNNNNNNNNNNNNNNNNNNNNNNNNNNNNNNNNNNNNNNNNNNNNNNNNNNNNNNNNNNNNNNNNNNNNNNNNNNNNNNNNNNNNNNNNNNNNNNNNNNNNNNNNNNNNNNNNNNNNNNNNNNNNNNNNNNNNNNNNNNNNNNNNNNNNNNNNNNNNNNNNNNNNNNNNNNNNNNNNNNNNNNNNNNNNNNNNNNNNNNNNNNNNNNNNNNNNNNNNNNNNNNNNNNNNNNNNNNNNNNNNNNNNNNNNNNNNNNNNNNNNNNNNNNNNNNNNNNNNNNNNNNUGAAAUGAAAAGAAGACUGGACAUAAUUUCAAUUCAUCGAAUCAAAAAACUUACCCAAUUCUUUCCACUCAUGGAAUAUGGCUAUGAUCCUUUGAUCAUCACUAUACAAAAAUGGAUAAUUAAUGGUUUUAAGAGAAAGCAUGAUAUGAAAUGUUUUUGUUUAAACAACUAAAUAUAUUAAAACACACUCUUAAACAAGCACAAGACAUGCUGAAAAAAGGCAAGGAAAGUACAAUAUUACAAUAAAGCCAAAAGGCCAAAAGCUAGGAAAUGCAAGUGGAAGUCACAAUCAGACCACAACAAAAACAACCCCAUCACACAAGCUAACAUAAAACCGUUAGUAGAGACACCAAAUAACCCCAAAUACACAUGACCUGAUCUCCUAAAUUGAAAAAGCUAGCAACAAAAUCACCGAACUGUCAUGACAGAAAAACAACAGCAGUGGCAGAACAACAGAGGUAGGAAGAAUAUUGCGCACCUAUUAAUUUCCUUAUAAAGAAAAGCAGUGGUAGCAGCAACUGCCGUUGAACAAAUUGCGAUGAUGCAAUUUCCAGCUUUUCCCAUCACAAACCACAACACACAACCUGCACAAAAUGUUGAAGACGGUAAACAAUGGUUCUUCUAAUGUUUGAAUUUUCAGGCUUCCUUGUGGUGCCAAUCUAAGGUUUUGAAAAAUCAAUUUGUGUAGUGCUGAAGUUUCAUAAUCAAAGGCUUCUCUCCUAUUGUAUAUUUGUAUUUAUAUACCGAGAUACAUCAUCUUAUCAACAAAUAACAAAUAGUAAAGUUACGAAAUCCACCAUUUGAAUAAGCAUUUCAAGAUUGAACUUAAAACAUCAUCCAAAUCAUAACAAGGAAAUAAUUGAACACAAAAAACGAAAUUAAAAUUAAACUGAAUCGCACUCCAAACAAACUAAGAAUUCGAACUUAAUGAUUAUUCACAUGAUAAGCAACCCUAGAGAAAGUGAAAAUGAAGAAUUCAGAAACUGAAGAUAAUAAUCGGACAUUGUAUUAUUAAAUAUUACACAUAUAAAUGAACAACGGGUGUACACAGUAUACAAGCAGUGAUCACACAUCAAGGGAGGUGACAUACAUCCAUAUUAUGAGGGGAUCACAUAUUGAACUUUAUUCUAAAGGUUGAUAUAUUAUUAGUUUACCUUUGCAAACUCCAAAAGUUGAGACCAUGUAUCCCUAGAUAUUGCUUCGUUAUGCCGAGCCUGAGUAAGUAGUAGUGAAAUUUUCAAUUUGAAGUAAAAUAAACCAGCAUUAUCAUACUAACAAGAAAGCUUCUAACAUACAAAAGUGAAGAUAAUUAGGGUUAUUACCUGCAGGAAUUGGCACCAAUGAUCAACCAGUGGCCACUACUUCUCAGCAAAUAAUAAUUGCCACAUUCCAAUAGCUGUAUCCAAAGCCAGAGAUUUCUGACCCUGCAAGAAAUUAACUUGCAUAUUAAUAUUGCAUAGUAACAGGUGACAUUAUAGAUUUUAGAUAAAGAGAGGAGAGAAAUAAUAAAGACUUAAAUAUAGUUCUAAUUUAUGAUCAAUAAUCACACAGUACUAUCCCCAAUUUAUAGAUACACGAUUUCUAAAAAAGGGUCCAAUAGAUAAGCGAUUUCUAAUCCUAAUGGAACAGGGAAAUAAAUUUAAAUAUAGUUCUCUUUUGCCCUUCAACAUAUAUAAUUUCAGAUCUUCUUCAGUAAUCAUUGUAGAUAAUUUCUAAUGAUAAAUGAAUAAAAAAACUGUAUGAUGAAAUUUAAUUUACAGCCAUAAUCUGAAAUGCUAUUGUCCUUACGUUCAUCUUUCAGCUCACAGCGCAUAGAUGGUAUCUUUUCACGGAACUUGUCCAGCGAAUCAACCCUGCAAUAAUAUUAUAAGACCUUCAACGUGGAUUCAGUCAUUACAGAAACAUAUUUUGUUUCAAAGUUACUAUAAAAUUCAUACCCAAAGAUUGUAAGCCGGCCUUCAUCAUAGUGCCGGCCUUCAUGUGCCAUGAAAGAACUAACGGCAAAAAUGUAAACAUCCCUAGUUACAUAAAGCCUUCCUAUGGGUCCACACAUAUCUGUAACUUGGAUGAUAACAGUUCAAACAUUUUGCUGAAGUUUGAUUCAUAUGACAAUGUUAUAGGAAAAAACAGUAAAUAACCAUGCAAUCAUCCAUGAUCUAAAAAUGAAACAAUCUUAAAAAACACGUUCAUACCAUUACUAUGUCUUGAGGAUCCACCUGCACAUGACAAAAACAUCAAUUACACUUUGAAUUAAUAACCUUCUGAAUGAACCAAAACUCAAACAUUGGAAACGUAAACAAGAGAAUAAAACAUCUGAAGUCCAUAAGAUGUAAACAACUUAUACAACAAUAGUUGACAAGACCUAUGAAACAGAGAUGAUCAAAUAUGCAUGAACAUGGUGCCAGUUAUCAGGAUCAUGGCUGACAUCAAUAUUAUUUUAAAUGGAAAAUUUUAAUAUAUAGCUUCUAUAGAGUAUAAACCUAAAAAUUUAAAAACAUCAAUCAAAACAAUAAUAUAACACAAAAGUAAAAACACAUAAAUUAAAUAUGGGUCAUGCUAACCGGUGCCUCCGGGCACUGGUUAAGGAAACCAAAAACAGAAAGUUUUGAAAAGAAAAAAAUACUUUUUAAACUUUCGAGGAGUUGACUGCACAAACUCUAAUGUCAAAUUACUAUUUUUGCAUUUUCCAUUAAAUAUAUAAAAUUAAAGAUUCACUUGCAAUAACUCUUCCAAAUCAUGUAUUGUGACAAAAACACUAACACCUUGAGUUCACAAAUAUCAAAUACAAUACAACAUGUAAUUAAACAAAGGCUUAUAAACCCAAAAGAAAACUCACGCAGACCAACCCAAAACGCAUUCUUCCUAUCACCAAAUACACAUAACAUAAUUACCCCAAAGAUGAAGCUCAAGCAACAACUUCGUGAAGCCAUAGAUUUUCUGUUCACUCGCGGUCCUGCUUCUUCUGCUGACUACACUCGUCUUGUUCUUCACUGUGCUCGAUCCAAUGACUUCAAUCAAGCCAAGAGAUUACAGUCUCACAUGGAACUUCAACUUUUUCAACCCACUGACUCGUUCAUCCAUAACCAACUCCUCCAUUUAUAUGCCAAAUGUGGCAAACUCUCAGAUGCUCAACAACUGUUUGAUAAAAUGCCUAAGAGGGAUAUUUAUUCUUGGAAUGCAUUACUUUCUGCUUAUGCUAAGGUGGGUUCGUUGGAGGAUUUGAAUGUCGUUUUUGAUCAAAUGCCUUGUCGUGAUUCUGUUUCAUAUAACACAUUGAUUACUUGUUUUGCAAGUAAUAGGCUUUCGAGUAAAGCAUUGAGUUUUUUUGUGAGAAUGCAGGAAAAUGGGUUUCAGCCUACUCAGUAUUCUUACGUGAAUGCGUUGCAAGCGUGUUCUCAGCUUUUGGAUUUUAGGCUUGGGAAACAAAUUCAUGGGAGAGUUGUUGUUGGUGAGUUUGAGAAAAAUACUAUUGUUUGGAAUGCUGUGACUGAUUUGUAUGCUAAGUGUGGUGAUAUAGAUAGAGCACGGUGGUUGUUCGAUGGAAUGGUUAAAAAGAAUGUGGUUUCGUGGAAUGUUAUGAUCUCUGGGUAUGUGAAAAUGGGAAACCCUGAUGAGUGCAUUCAUUUGUUUAAUAAGAUGCAAUUAUUUGGUUUGAAACCUGACCAAGUUACAGAUUCUAAUGUUCUAAAGGCGUACUUUCAAUCUGGACGUGUAGAUGAUGCACGGAAUAUGUUUAGUAAAGUAGCCAAAAAGGAUGAGAUUUGUUGGACUACGAUGAUAGUUGGUUAUGCGCAAAGUGGAAGAGAGGAAGAUGCUUUGAUGUUGUUUAAUGACAUGCUUCGUGGAAACGCUAGACCUGACAGCCACACCAUUUCUAGUGUUGUAAGCUCUUGUGCCAAGUUAGCAUCUUUAUAUCACGGUCAGGGUGUCCAUGGAAAAGUUAUUCUUAUGGGUGUUGAUAGUAACAUGCUUGUAUCAAGUGCACUAGUUGAUAUGUAUUGCAAGUGUGGAGUCCCUUUUGAUGCUCGCGUAAUUUUCGAAACUAUGCCUAUUAGGAACGUGAUCACUUGGAAUUCAAUGAUUUUGGGUUAUGCACAAAAUGGGGAGGCUCAGGAGGCCUUGGCUCUGUAUGAAAGAAUGCUGCAAGAAAAUUUCAAACCUGACAAUAUUAGUUUUGUGGGUGUCUUAUCUGCUUGUAUCAAUGCUGAUAUGGUUAAAGAAGCAUGCAAGUAUUUCGAUUUGAUCAGUGAACACGGAAUGACACCGACGUUGGAUCAUUAUGCAUGUAUGAUUACUCUCUUUGGUCGGUCAGGUAAUAUUGACAAAGCGGUGGAUUUAAUUAAUGGUAUGCCGCACAAACCAGAUCACCAGAUUUGGUCCGCUUUACUAUCUGUUUGCUCCAAGGACAACAUAAAGACUGCAGAAUUUGCAGCUAAUAAUCUCUUUCAACUGGAACCACAUAAUGCUGGACCUUAUAUCAUGCUUUCAAACUUGUAUGCUGCUUGUGGAAGAUGGAAAGAUGUAGCUGUUGUAAGGUCUCUUAUGAAGGAAAACAAUGCAAAGAAGUUUGCUGCAUACAGUUGGGUUGAGGUUGAGAAUGAACUCAACCGAUUUGUUUCUGAUGAUCACAAUCAUCCAGAAGUGGAAAGAAUCAAUGGUGAAUUGAAUAGAUUGAUUGUAAAAUUGCAACAAAUUGGGUAUAAUCCAGAUACACGCAAUGUUCUACAUAAUGUGGGAGAGGAAGAAAAAUUGAGAUCCAUCUCGCACCACAGUGAGAAACUUGCUCUUGCGUUUUCUUUAAUUAAAAAAACCAAGGGUAUUGCACCAAUACGGAUCAUAAAAAAUAUACGUAUCUGUGAUGACUGUCAUGUAUUUAUGAAGUUUGCAUCAAUUGCUAUAGCUCGGCAAAUCAUUAUAAGAGAUUCAAGUAGGUUUCAUCAUUUCAUUGAUGGAAGGUGUUCUUGCAAAGACCAUUGGUAGAGUCUCAAUCUGAUGGUAAACAUCUGUGCUCUGAAUGAGAUUUUUAUGGCUUUUCCUUUCACAAGAUUUGGACAUCCAAAUCUGUUUUUAGCAUGCUUAAUCUAUAUUAUAAUAUGUUCUCAUGUCUAUUUGUUCAUACUUGCAUCAUUUUUUAUUUUUUUGGUUUCAGUCAUGUAUGAUUUGAUUUAUCCUUUGGCAUCACUUGUUAAAUAUGGCUGCUCAUAUCCUUUGGCACACAAUUUUCCAAUCACCGUUGUGAUUUGUUAUUUCGUACAUUGAGCUUCAUGCUGUAUGCAGGUUAUGGCAACUACGUGUAGAGGAUACUUGAUUUAUUUCGUACAUUGAUUUGUUAUGCUCAACUCUCUUUUAACUAAAAUGAAUUCAUUCAAAAUCAAUUUUUGUCAUCACGAAAACCAAACACACAGUCUGUAAUUUUCAUCUGUAAACAAUUAGAAAUAGAACAGUUUUUUUUCUUUCUUUACAAUUGAAUUAGGACAGUUUUAUGUUUAUACAAUAGAGGAAAACAAUGAUUUGAUGCAUAUAGUCGAUAUGUCUUGGUCGCUAUUGGUAUCAAAUAGAAUGCAGGGUGGUUAAUUCCAUAUCAUAGUAAUGUUAUGUUUGUUUCGUUGAUUAAUGUUGUUGAUAGUGCACGAGGUCUCUACUAAUAAGUGAAAUCAGUAAUAUCUAGUUUAACGAUUAAGGGUUUAAAACAAACAGAUUGAAAAGUUUGCAUACGUUAAAUAGUUAGAUUGGAUGACUGUCUUAGUCGUUUUUGCUUUAGUCGCUAGUUUUUCUUUUGGUACACCUGACUGUUGUAUGAACUAUGAAGGAUACUAAUGCUGUUGUAGAGUAGGUUACGCCAAGGUUAUUGGAGAUACUUCAGUUUGACUGUAUCAAAUGGUGAUUUUUUUUAAGAAAAUGGCCUCCCGUCGUAAAACCAAAUCAAUUCUUGAGUUACCUGAGUUUCAAGUAGUACUCUACUAUGUUGUACUGAAUGUGAGGGCCAGUUUUCCAGAAUAACAUUGUUGGUGCAAUGAUGAUUUUCUUUGAAAAACCUAUUUGCAUAUAGGCAUCAUAUAUUUUGACCAUCAAUUUGUUGAAAUUUAAACGUGAGGUUAUUGUUUCGGAUUUGAAAGUUAAGCUACCGCUUCUCAAUCUGAGUGUGCUGUGUAUACUUCAUUGAUGCUUUGUAUUUAACUAUUUAUCCAGGGAAGGAAAUAUCUUUGUAUUGUUUGUUUGACUUGAUGAGUAUAAACGAUUUCUUUUCAGGAUACUAACUUUAAAGAAAUAUCUUUGUAUUGUUUGUUUGACUUGAUGAGUAUAAACGAUUUCUUUUCAGGAUACUAACUUUAAAUCGUUUAUACUCAUCAAGUCAAACAAACAAUCUGAGUGUGCUGUGUAUACUUCAUUGAUGCUUUGUAUUUAACUAUUUAUCCAGGGAAGGAAAUAUCUUUGUAUUGUUUGUUUGACUUGAUGAGUAUAAACGAUUUCUUUUCAGGAUACUAACUUUAAAGAAUGGAAACAAGUGGUGCAAGAAAUUGUCCGCUUCACAAAAGCAGAUAUGGACUUUAGCUUUUGGCCUAUGCGUUAUUGUGCUACAUUUGAUUCUCAUCAGGCUUCUCUUCCUUAUGUGGCUCGUUUUCAUGCAAAAAGGGUUUUAAAAUUUCACGAUGCACUCUUAGCAAGCUAUCAUCGAAAUGAGGUCAAUACUUGCGAAGUUCUUAAAUUUGUGUUAAUAAAUAAUUUUAGUUUGAAAGGCACUGAAGCUUUUGAAUCUUCAUAUACCCUCCAUUUCAGGUCAAAUUUGCUGAGCUUACAUUAGACGUCUAUAGAAUGAUACANNNNNNNNNNGAGCUUCUGGGAUAAUAGACAUGAACCUUACUGCAGAUAUGACAGAUCCAACUAUACCUUCUAAUCCUACAAAGGCUACCUUGUAUCGUCCAUCUGUGACACACGUG